This is a long non-coding RNA of Capsicum annuum, 14040 nucleotides long. RefSeq lists it as uncharacterized. The transcript has 3 exons. Lineage: Eukaryota; Viridiplantae; Streptophyta; Magnoliopsida; Solanales; Solanaceae. The record is from RefSeq and is a predicted model, not a curated record.
GGAGGAAACCCAUUUUUUCUUACGUAUUUUUGUUGUUUUUGUUGAGAGUGCAGGAAUGAGAAAUUUAUUGCCAUGGGGAAGAACAAGUGAGUAAAUUUUGUGUUAAGGGAGGCUAUAAGGUGUGUAAAAGAUGUAUUCAGUUGAUGAAAAGGGGAAGGAAAGAAAAAUGGAGAAAAAAUUCCCCCAAGUGCACAAAACAGUGGCACUCAAUGAUAACCCCGCGCCGUGGAUCCUAGACUCCGCCUUAGGCUCUACGUCGCGCUAAAGGAAAAAUCGUGGAGGCCAAUUCCAGUUAACCUCCGCGAUGCGGAGGGGUAUUUCUCUUGGGUUUUUAUUUUAAAUAGUCGACCUUUGACCCGACCCAAUGCCUUUUAACCCAAAAUUUCUCUUUAAACACCCCUCAAAUCCCCAAUUCUCUCCAUUUCUUUUAACAUUAGAGGUACACCUCUCCAAAUUCUCUCAACUUUAAUGCGUGUCGAGCCGAGCAUCACUUUUCUCUUCUCUCCGUAAUUUUGAUUUAGGUACUAUGGACAACAAACAACAAAAGGGAAAGGACAUUGUUGGGCUAUCUAAGCCUUCCAAGAAAGAAACAGGCUAACUGGCCGGGUACCGAGAGCUCAUAGAGUUCCCUGUGGUCAGUCACAGAGAUAUGGAACUAGAUAGGUCAAGGAACCUGGAAAAAUAUGGUACUCAAAAGCGCAAUGAGACCAAGUACAACCCGAAAGAGUCCAUCAAUCGAGCGAUCUUAUGGAGGGAUUACCCUAGUAUGGUACAGAGGUUGGAGCAGCUACACAUGAACUUUUGUUUGAGCAUCCCACGGAGAGCAACUUGCACCUCAUUAGAGAAUUCUACGCUAAUUGGGACCCCAGGUAUCUUGAUUCUGAGAUAAAGAUCCAUGGACAGGUAGUAACUUUCUCGACCUAUGUUGUGAAUGGAAUCCUAGGCAUCCCCGAGGUAGAUGUAGGCCCUUUGAGUUAGCUGAACAUUACCUUGACAUACGUAGACAUCAGACAAUUGUAUGAAAAUAUGUCUACAGCUGGAUGGACUAGACAUAGAGAUAGUGGCCUUUACCUGACAUUCUCAUAUGCUCAAAUAAACAGGGAGGCAUGCAUGUGGAUGAUGAUUAUCUGCCAUUGCCUGAUUCUGGGCAAACAUAUGACAGAUGUUACUCGUGAAAGGGUCUGCCUAAUUAUGCUUUGAUGUGGGAUGAUAUUGAGAUUAAUGUAGGUGUUGUUAUAUUAGCUAUAAUAGAAAAGGUGUGCUACCAUCAGGGGCGCAGAUAUAGAUUCAGUGGAUUACUGACCAGGUUUUUUAGAGGUCAAGAGGUUGUGGAGGAGGCAAUAGAUAACAGCCCGGCAGUGAAUGUAAGAACCCGCAAAAUUCUCUCGUAGUCUGAGCCUUAGAGCGUGUUCAGUGAAGUGUUAAUCCGGCCCUAAAAGGUUGAAAAGUGUAUUCCCAAGUGAUAAGUAUUUUGAACCGUAUAGAAUUUCCCUAAUAUCGACUUUUUUUCAUGUAAAGAAUUGAAUAAGCUUUCCGUCGAUACCAAAUUCGCCCAAAUUCGAUGCUCGGGCGAAGAGUUAGAGCCAUUGUAGUGAGACGAUGUACCACCUGGUACUUUAGCGCGUCGCGAAGCCAGCCAAAAUGGCAAUCGUCAAAAUCCAGUGAGCCUCCGUGAUUAUGGCGCAUCGCGCCAAGGCUCAAUUUCAGAGUUGUCAAUUUCCAGUGCACCAACGCAAUUCCACCGCGUCGCGGUGCCUUUCCAGUUCGCAACUAAGGUGGCAACGCAAUUUUCACCGCGUCGCGCCACCAAUCAGUUUCCUAAUUGUCCAUUUUAUAGUGAGCUUGCGCGAUUCCACCGCUCGUGCCAGCAUGUGAAAUCGAGAUUUUCAGAUUCCGUUUUUAAAUUUCAAGGACCAAUUGGUAAUUUUCUAAAGCCCCAAACCAGUCUAUAUAAGGGAUCCAUACCCUAAAUAACGAAAAUACUUCUUUAUUUAUCAAUUUUUUCCCCAAAUUAAAAUAUUUUCUCUCUCAAGAAAUCAAGAACAAGACCUAGGGUUUCUAAUUCAAGACCCAAAUCAUCAAGAUUCCUACGUUAACUUUUCAAAGAAUCAAGAAACUAAGGUAUGCAGAUGUUGAUUCUUGGGUCCCUUUCAUCCAAGAAGCUCAAUAACCCUUUUCUAAAUUUUAAAGAUCUUAUGUUUAUGAGUUUUCAUGAUUCAUGUGAAUUGAAAUUGGAGUUCUUGCUAUUAUUUAGUUUUAAUUCAUGUUUGUUUACAAGGUUUUCAAGCUUUGACCCUAGUAUGUGAUAUUCAUGUGAUGUUCAUGAUAAACCCUCUUUAAGUUGCUUGUUAAGUGAUGUGUUCAUGUCAAUUAAGUGUAGAAAUUGUUGAAUAAGCAAAGCAUGCUCCCCAUAUAUUCGAUGAAAUGCGUAUGUGAAGAAAUUAGAACCAUUAUAGCAUGAUGACUAGAAAUCCCCAAUUAUGUGCAAGCCCAUACAUGCCAAGUGUUUGUUGAAAAGCCUUAGUGAAUGAAUUGUGGCAUGAUAGCAUGAAAUUCCACAAUUAUGUAUUAUUUAAUCCAUGCUAAGUGUUUGAUGCUAGACCUUGUUGAAUGGAGUACGAGUCAGUAACAUGUCUCCCUAUAUUAUCACAUGUUUAUAAUUCCUAAAUGCUUGAAAAGAUGCUUUAGUGAUUGUGAUGGUGAAUGAAUGUCCAUGGUCUUGAUUAUUCAAGAAUGGUUAUGUUUUACUUUUAUGUUAUCAAGUCCUGGGGGUAUUUAUACCCGACAAUUUAGCUGCAGUCUAGAGCUAGUGUCAGUUUUCAUGAUAAUCUUAGUCAAGCCACGAUUCUCAGAACUCAGUGAGUUAUAGAACUCUAUACUCUCAGAUAGAUACAGAACUCAAGUAACCUUAGUAAUCUCAGUAUCGCUAGUAUUCUAGCCUCAGUUCAGUACUCAGCUCAGACCUUGUAGUAUUCAAGUGUUCGGUUCAUACCUCAGUAGCAUUCAAAUAAUCUAUUCAGAGCUCAAUAUCAUUCAGUCAGAUAACAAGAUUCAGUAGUAUUCCAUCAGAUACAGAACCAAGUGAAUUCAGCUUAACCCAGUCAGAUUAUUCGAGAAACAUGAUCAGUGUUAGAUUCAGCUAAGUUUAAGUUCAGUUAUGAAUUAGUUUAGAGUCUUUCAGUUGGGAGUAGGAGCUAGCACCGAGCGAGUGCAGGGAUGACGGCCCCCCGUUUGAGAAGCAGAGUCGUUAGGAGCAAUCCCUGAACUCUAGAAUUGCGUAGCCAGCGCAGGAUGCAGGAGUCACCCGUUAGGAAAAGGCUUAACUAUUAUACUGUCUUAGGCUUGACUUUUUUAGAGGGUUACCCAUUAGAGAGGCUUGACCAGAGUUGAGGUCUUUACCCGUGGAACGGUAUUGACACCCUUCCAGCUGGGGUUAUAGGUUGGACCCCACCAGUUCAGAUUUGGGGCAUGUCGGUUAAGUGAGCACUCCCACAGUUAUAGUUUCAGUAUCAGUCUUCAGAGUAGAACUCAGAAAUCAGGACUGUCAGAUACAGUCAUCUAUCUCAGUAAGAAACUCAGAUAGUUCCAUUGAUUUAUAGAUCACCCACUAGAUAGGCAUGGUCUCACAUAAAGAUAUUCAGUAGCAGUAUUAUCAGAUCGAGAGAUCACCCGUUAGAUAGGCUUGAUCUCAGCCUCAGAUUUAGUUUAGUAAUCUCAUUAUCAAAUCCAGAAAUCACCCAUUAGAUAGGCUUGAACUCAGUCUUAGAUUUAGUUGAGUAUUCUCAUUAUCAGAUUUAGAGAUCCUCUGUGAGAUAGGUUCGAUAUCAGAUAAAAUCUCUUCUUGUCAUUGAUAGUAGAUUCAGGGAUCAUCUGUUAGAGAAGUUUGAUCUCCGAUUCAGUCAGCUGAGAGUAGCAAGUUCAGAGUGUAGUCAUUGAUGUGAGUAGAUUCAGUUAAUCAGCUCCAGUAAUAUCAGUUUCCGAGAUCACUCACUAGAGAAGACUGAUCUUAACUCCAGUACUCAGUUAUCAAUAUCAAUAUCAGGAGAUUCAGUUGUUCAGUAUUAGUAGUGAGUUCAGACGACACGGUAUUCGAGUUUCGGUAUUUCGAGUCAUGAAAUUUCAGUUAUGAUUUGUGCAUUCAUGCAUGUGUUCUCAUUUAGUACUCUCAUGAUUAUUCAGUUAAGUAAUUGUUCAUGCAUAAGCCCUUACAUUUAGCCUUACCUUCUCUUCAUACUCGGUACAUUCCCGUACUGACGCAUUUGUGCUAUGGAGUUUUAUUUGACACCAUAGGUUCAAAGGAACGAGAUCUAGAGUACCCUUAGAAGCUCAGUCCCAGUCAGCUGCAGUAGAUGUAGCUGUGAGUCCUCUUCAGUCGAGGAUGAUCCUUAUUUUAUUAUCACAUCAGAUUUAGUUUAUUUUCAGUAGACGAAUUUAGUUGGGGACAUGUCCCAUCAACUCCACAGUUCAGAUAGUUUAGAGGCUUUUCGGAUAGAUAUAUCAAUAUUCAAUUUUUAGUUUUGAGUAUUUUAGAUUUUUUGAACCGCCAGUUUUUGCCAGUUUUCCGUAUUUAUUACAGAUAUUAUGCAGUGCACAGGUACAGAUAUCAGUAGAGGGUUAGCUUAUGGUCCUUCGGGAUCAUGAGCACCGCGUGACAUUUCGGUUUUAAAAAAUUGGGUUGUUACACCACCAUACCAUUUGUACCCUAUCAUACAAGUGGUACCUACUACUCGCAUCCUAGGCAUCCCUUGGACCCCCAAAACUGUCCAACAUAUGACCACCAAGCCCCAGUCGUACCCAACCAUACGAUUAGUACCAUGAAAUCGUACACUAGGCAGAACCAAUAGGGGCUGACACUGUCCAACAUACAAGUUGGACUAUACCACUCGUACCCUAUCUUAUGUCUCAUGGUGAGCCACUCGUACUCAGAUCCAAUUUAAGUUACUAAGUUUCUGAUUAAGUGAAGGAAAAUAUAAAACCAAUGGUCCAACCAUACGACUCGUACCCACCUAGUCAUACCUAUUCCAGAAACUCAACCACCCAAUACUGGACAAGAUACGACUAGGUCACCUUAACCGUACACUAUCAUACAACUGGUACUCUAAAUCAUAUGAUGUCCAGAAUCCAAAAAUAAAGAACUAUCUCUAAGGGUCAAAACCCAGAGUGUUUCAUGAUUUUUAUUCUAUCUAGGGAUAUUAUUCGGCUAAGAUAUAGAGAGAUUUUGGCAGUGAAGGUUCAAUAAUGACAUCGUCUCAUUGAGAAGGCUAUCUAGGAGACCAAAAAGGACAUGCAGGCCUAGUAUUUUUGCUUAUUCGUGCCUUCAGGUACUUCUUGACUCACAAUUUCUAAGGAUGGAAGUCUUUUUAGCAGUGGAUGUUGUAAUGACCGUCUAGGUCAUUUUCUUGAUUUUUAUGCAUUUUCACCAUUUUGAGUUUUCUACAGUUUUCCUAGGUUAUUUAUGAACUAUUGGGACUGGUGGUUUGGUUCUCAAGGGGUUUGUUUGAUUUUUAAGCCAAUUUAUAUGUUUUGGAGCUUUAGAAAUUGAUAACUUUGACUUUGAUCAAACUUCAGCAAAUAGCCUCAGAUGAAAAUCUUUGAAAUUUUGUUAGCUCCAAAGCAUGGAUUCAUAACUAGAGGGACCUUUAGUUUCGGUUUCAAGGCUUUCAAACUCAUUUUGGGUUAUUGGUUUGCUUUUAGUUAAAAAUGGAAGAUUAGUUGUGGGGCCUACUUUUCAUCAAAAUGAUCUUUGUUGAGAAUUUCAUAAAUUUUUUUGAGUCUGAAAUAUAAUAUUUGAUAGGGUGGCAGAUUUUAUUUGCAUUCACGGGAUUUUAAACUAUUCUCGAGGAUUCAUUCAGAGUUAUUUUGACCUUAUGUUUUUGCUGAUAUUGCAGCAAAUGGUGUAGGGCAAAAUUGUCCUAUGCGUGUGCAGCCAUCCCUUGCGUGCAUGUAGAAGGCUAGCUGAUCCGAUCCAAAAAUCCUUCUCUGAGCGUGUGAAGGUUUGGGUUGAAAGGCCUCUGUGUGCAUGAUACGGGUCUCGCAUGCACAUAGAAGGGACCCUGGUAUUAUAAAAGCCUCAUCCUUACAAUUUUGAACUAUUUUUCUAAAUGUUUUCCUCCAUUAUUGAACCUUGAGCUUGGGAAAUUGUUUUGGAAUCAUCAAUUGAAGAUUAGGGGCAUUAGUAGCUUGUUCCUUGAUCAUUCCCAUCGAAAUUGUGUAAGUUUGUGACCUAAAUUCCAUUAAUUUCUUAGUUAUUUUCUUGAGUUUCCUUUAACUUGUGGGACUGUUUUGGAGCUCUAUUUAAGGCCUGAUCAUGCCCAAUUUUUUAGCAUAUGAUCCUUGUCCCGAGAGGGACACAACUGUCGGUUUGAUUUCUAGAUUUCGUAAGCAGACCCAUGGGUAAUUUUUAACCCAAUUUUUGGUUCGGAGUGUUAAUUCGCAAUAUGAGCAUCAUUAUUCUUAUUUUGACAUGUAGAUUAUUUUUUUGCUAGCGUAGCAGUAGUUGAAGGCUUCUCAAAAAGGAAAAUAUCCAAUUUAAUGAGUUGUGAGUUGUGAGUGCACUCUUUGGCAUAAGAAGAAAAAUAGCACCAAAAAAUCAAAAGAAACCACGGAACGAUCAACAUUACAAUGCAUAGAAAAAGGAGCAAAAAAGGAUCAGGGGAUGUGUCUUGUGCCACUGUUGCAAAGAAAGCAGUGGUGAGAAUUAGUGAGGAUUUGGAGUGUUGUUAGGACCCUUGCGCCACUCCUCCAAAGCAAGGAGUGGCGCAAGUUUGAGCACCAUCUUGGAAUUUUACUUGUUCCUUGAGCCACAGCUCCAUUUUUGGGCAAUAGUGAGAGUCGGUACUUCUAACUCAGAUUGAGAAUGAUUUUGACAAUUUAAGCGUUCCCAAACUCUAUAUAAAACCCUCUCUCAUGUUUUUUUAUCAAAUACAUCUGAUUUUGGGAAGCCAAAAGUUAAGCAAAGCUCAAGAAUAAGGUCUAGUUUUAUUUUCGAUUUCUGCCUUUCGUCAACUCAUGAAAUCUCUUCUUCCAAAGAGAUUCAUGUGCAGUCAAACCUCUUAAUUUCUAGGGUUGUGGUUGAACAUGAAAGUUGUGGCUUGAAUAUCAUAUGAUUUAUUUUGAUUCUCGUAUUUUGAGUAAUUUAUAUCUUCUUACUUUCAAUUAUCCGUUUGAUUGAUCACCUUGCGGACAUUAUCUAGGGCUUGUUUGUUGGACUUGAAAAAGAAAAUAGCAAGUGUAAAAAGAGGAAAUAAAGUUAGUUUGUGAACCUUAUAGGGAAAGGGAAUCAAUGUACCACUGAAGAUAGAAGUAUACCUUCUGACCUAGCUUAGUUGAUACGCCCGAUAUUUUUAUGCACUUCACUAUUAGCCGAUGACCAUAAAAAUAUAAGUGUUAGGAUAGUUGAGUAGGCUUAGAGUUAUUAGAAAAACACUCAAUUUAGCUAAAACCUGCGAAUAGUAACUCACGAAAUCAAAUUAAGAAUAUGAUUGAAUGGCUCAACUAGAUUGUCAAAAUACCACAAAGAUAGAUUCUGCCAAUCUAAAUUACAACACAACUAAUCAAUGACUUAUUUACAAUUAUUUUUAUUUCCAUUCAAAACACACAAAUCACUCUCUAUUAUUGAUCGUCUACUUAAUAGCUCAUAUAAGAAUUCAAACUACACUUCAAUUCGUCAAAUCCCUGUUAAUAUGAUCAUGUACGACCACGUACACUUACACGAGUAAAAAGACGGAACAUUUAGAAAACCAAAAUUCUAGGGUAAAAAUUGAAAUUUAAAAUAAUUCUAACAUUUAAAAGAGAGAUGUAAAACAAGAUAUAAGUUGUUUUCCAAAUUUGAGAUACUGACUUCAAAUUAAAUUUGAAAUGUUCAUGGUCAAACACUGAUUUUCAAAAAAGUAAAAAAAAAAAAUUAAAAAAGUGAAUAAUUUCUCUGAUCUUGAUGGCUAGAGAGACCACAAUUACACUGAAAUUUUCACCUGAAGGAGGCACACAUCUGGAAAAAAAUAAUCACAUAACUGAUUAAUAGAAAACAAGCAUAAUCCACAGACGACCCAAAGAUGGCUCUACUACCCCUUCGUUGAGGAUUGACAAAAGAACAGGACAUUCGGUUGUAAACCAGAUGAGACUUUCUUGCCACACCAGGCAAAGUGCAUUUGACUAUUGAUUGCAAGUCGGAGUAUGCAUGUGAUAUAAAGCUGGACACUGGCGUCGAAAAGUUUCAUGUGAACUAAGUCAUCUAAUGAAAAUAGACUUAAGUCAUCAACAACCACUUUAAGUUGUUCCGAAAAUUCACUUAAACCCCUCAACUCAAGACUUGUACCUAUUGAAUACCUUUACUGUUGGUCUUGUACCCAUUGAAUACUUUUACUACUUGAAUUUAAACACAUUUUUAACAAUCAACUAUAAAUGUAAAGUGUGUGUGAAUUAAAUGAUGUGGCAAUACAACAAAUUAAAUGAUGCCAUUUGGCAUGUGAAUCCAAAAAAAUAUUUAAAAAAAUAAUAAUGGUGACAAUUUACAAUUUUUGAUUGAAAAGGAAAAAGAAAAGCAACUACCAUAUCCCCCCUUAUCAUCUUCUUCUCCAAUUCUGUAAAAAAAAAUUCCAAAAUUGUUUUAGCAAUCCAAUUCAUAUUUAUUGCUAUUUUUUUUUCUUCUUGUGUUGUGGGUUCUUAGAAUUUGAAUUUUUUAACAAUAUCAAUAAAGUAAUCUCAAAUUCAUAUCAAGUUAGCCGGAAAAAAUGGAAUUUUCCAAUUCAAGAAUCAAAUUUGUUGUCGCUGUUUUUUUUUUUUCUUUUUCUGUUACAUAAAAUCGUGAUUACAUAUAUGGCUAAGAGAUUAUUUGAUCUAUAGUCAAUCUUUAUCGAUUAAAGAAAAGAAUUGACGAAUUUAAAAAACUUACAAGAUUGUUAGGAAUUUAAAAAGAAAAAAUAAUAUAGAUGAAGGAUUGAUGAAGAAGAUGGCUAGGGUAUAGAUGAAGGAUUGAUGAAGAAGAUGGCUAGGGUAUAGGGGAGGGAAGGAGGGGGGUUGCUUUUCCUUUUAUUUUUUAAUUAAAAUUUGAUAUUAUUAGAAAUUAUUAAUGAAAUAAAUUGAAGUGUGAUUUUUUUUAACAAAAAAAAAAUACCAUUUGGGACUAUUCACGCUCCAAAGGAGAGUGAAUAACACUUUCCUCCCCAUAUCAGCACUUUGUGCCUGAUAGGUAUAGAAUUGAAUGGGUUAGAGGCUUGACAAGUACAAACCUUAGUUGAGGGUCUAAGUGAAUUUUCAAAACAACUUAAAGUGAUUUUUGAUACUUAAGCCAUGAAAAUACAUAUGCUGCAACAUUUGUGCGAUGUAGCAGGCACGUAAAAAAGAAAAAAGUGUCAUUUUUCCAUAUGAUAUCAGUUCUCAGGAACAAUUUCACUAGGCAGAAAUAUCCAAGUCGACCUUUAGCAUUCUUCUACGAAAAGCUCUUCAUAAAGUCAAACAGCCACUUAUGCUCAUUCCUCGUCUUCUCAAUCCUGUCACUCGACCAACAGUCUCAUUUGCUCACACGCAGAUUUAUUAACCCUUUCAAAUUCCAUCAUUUACCAAACUAGAGUUUGGCAAAUUCAGGUUUUCUCUUCUGACUAUGUGCUGAAAUUGCUUCUUUCAAAUCAUCUGAUAACAGGGCACCAGAAUUCCAUGUGGCAACAUAAUCCAGGCCUUGUUCCACUGUCAAAUCCCUACUUUUCAGCAACACGGCUUUGUUCCAAUAACAGCAAGCGGAGACUUUGUAGCUAUUUCUGCAUUUUAAUGGAAAAAUAUACACAACUUAUUAGCCAGGUCAAAGUGAAAAAAAAAAAAUAGCAAUAUUCAAAAAUGCAAGAACUAAGCUUGCUAAAAAGAUGAACUUAUUCACUAAUUCCAGAGAGAACUGAGGAAGAACAAGAAACAAGCUAGUAUAAGACCGGGUGAAUUACCGAAAACCUCGUGCUAGAAACAGUAAGUGGAGGAAGAAUCUAUGAGUGAGAUCUAGACGGUACAUACAUUUUACUCAGCAAGGAACAAAAUCAGGUUUGAAAAUAUAUACAUUAAUGACACCAGCUCAAAUUUCAGUCAAUAACCAUGGAAGAUAAUGGUCCUAAACUUUCCAUUCCAGGGAAAGAAGGAAGUGGCUUUCCAGCCUUCAGUGAUUUUUAAUCAAGACCACCUACAUUACAUUUGAGAAAGGCAUGAAAUAACAGACACAAGACUACCAUAAUGGAUCAAUGUUGGUACUGCACGUACAGUAGGAAGAUGGGUAGGAUAGAAGACCGGAACAGCCACCUCUAGUUUGUUCGUCUUCCAACAUAUUUAAUCUUCAAGUCCCAUAACAAAAUUUCUUGCAUAAAGAGGACAUCAUGAAUCACAUAUUUGCCUCCGUGUUUUACUGUUUUCAUCUCACAAAGACCCUUGUGGAUUCAAAGACUGUUUCAAACUUCUUUCUUGGGCAAAGAUAAUAGCAUAAUAAAAGAAAGAUCAUUGGGAAAUCAAUGUUUUUGUGUUACACUGGCUAAAUAAUCUCAGACACGUGUUGGAUUGAGCCAUCCCAACAUCCUUUUUUUAAUAAGGUAACAAAUACCCACAUCCUUUCCUUUUUCUAUGUUCGACUCAAGGACACUCCGCUCAACAUGUAUUAACUUUCAUCUCUCAAGCAUGACAUAAAAUGAAGAAAGUGAAUCACAGGUUUUACUCAAUUCCCAAGUGACAGAUACAGGGCCAAGUUUUACUCGUACAACACUAACUAUGCAUCAAUACCGACUAUGCCAGAGUUAGCUAUAUGAAUCAUUACAGACCAUGUUGCUCCUUUCAUUUAAGUUUAUCCCAGUCCAAUAUUAUAUAAGAGUUGCCAGAGUUAGCUAUAUGAAUCAUUACAGACCAUGUUGCUCCUUUCAUUUAAGCUUAUCCCAGUCCAAUAUUAUAUAAGAGUUGUCAAGUUGUACUCAUAAACUUGUAAAAGGUUCUCGUUGAAGGAAGGGAAGAUGACGCUAAGCCAAAGUAGCUAAAAUUGCUCUAAAGUGAGCCUAGCCAUGGAUGACAAUUAUUUAGUCUGUUCCAAUUCAUGUGAACAUAUUUGAUUGGAUACGGUCUUCAACAAACAGAAGACUUUCAAAACUACUGGUCUUAAACAUGUCAUAAGAUUUGUGUGGCGAUAAGGCUAUUGAAACUUGUGAUCUUAAAACAUGUUAUAACAUUUGUGUGACCGUACAAGUAUGCCAUUACGGCUUUCCAAGUUUAGGAAGGAUCAUUUAUUAAAUGGACUAAAAAAGGAAAUAUGGUCUGUAUAUAUUGGAAGGAGGAAGUACAUAGUUUCAUAUGACCUAAACAAUCAGUGAUCUAGGAUCGUCAUAUACACCUAUUCGAUCUUCUAUGAAUUCCAAAGUUCUAUUCCCCCUCUCGGUCAAUCUUCUCUAAAGAGCUCGACCCACUUGAAGUUGACAUAAAACUUCAUCUACUGAAGCAAAUAUAGAAGAAUUGUGGGGUGUUCAAGUGUGAAAUAUUUUGUUCAGAAGAUUACUGCAUUACUGGGAACUUCAAAGAGUUACUGAUUUCUUCAAAUGCCAGGAGUCCUUCCAGGGGUUCAAGGAGGCUGAAGACACACUCGCACUAUACAGAAAUGGUAAUGGAGAGUGUACUGUUAAAUCACAGCUUACUUCUCCCUCUCCAAUACUGACUAGGAAGUAGGAAACUGACCAUGAAGGUCAGUAAAUUUGGAAAGCCAAGGCCCUUUUCAAAAUGGUUUAUUUCACAUGGUUAGUGGCAAGACAAGCACGCUAACACAAGAAAAUCUUAAAAGAAGGUGGUUUCAACUAUGCUCUUUGUGUGGUUCAGCUGCAUAAUCUAAUAACCAUUUAUUCCUUCACUGUCCAAUUACUGCUCAACUGUGGCAGCUGCUCAUAAGUAUUGUGGGCUUUAAUUGGGUGAUGCCAGCAACUACUACUGAGUUGCUACAUCCAUGGAACUACAGGGGGGCAAUAGUGAAGCAGAAGGGGUGGUGGAAAAUGAUGUCAGCAUGCCAUAUAUAGUGGUCAGUCUGGAAAGAGAGGACAGCAAGAAUUUUGUAAGUCAAGCAGACCUCGACACAGAAACUUAAGAUUGCUUACCUUAGAUUUGGUAGAUUGAAUUUGUAGGUGAGUCAAGAUCACGCGUUACGAUUAACCUAUUUCUAGGUCCGAUUUACCAGCAGUUUGAUUACUAGGUAAUAAUGGAAAUCAACAAAGUACAAAGCAUGCAGUUCGAUUCACCACUUUUUGCUUACCUUGCCCUUCUUCCAGUUCUGCCAAUCUUCCUUAAGUUGCUCUUUAUUGCCCUGCAUCUCGAUUCAGCAUGUCUGGUUCUUCUUUGAACCCUUCCUCCCUUGUCUACCGACGGCGCCAUGGAGAAGAGGAACAAAGAAUCUGGCCUUUCCGAGCCAUCCGCCAACGAAAUCAUCCCCGAUCUCUAUUCCUUUAACAAAGAUUUUAGAGACCUAGCUUGUAAAGAACCAAAAGGAAAAACAGAUCAGUCUGCGAAUUUGGCUCCCUUAUGAAAGAAAUCAAUCUAGCCGUUGUCCGGAGAGUCUGCGGAUGGCCUCCUGAGAAAUUUCCAGUGGAGGCGCACAUCAUUCUGUCGAGGUCCGACAGCACUUCCGUCUACAAUCUACCCGUUUAGCGUGGUACAUGGGGAUCCUAUAGACGAAGUAAUCAUAUCGUUCUGCAACACCUCUCAGGUGUGCCUAGGCCAGCUCGGCUAGGGAUAUGCAGAACUGUUGCUUGCCCCCGAGAGCUAGCCACUUCAGUAUGCGAGGAGUUCUCCCUGACUCAUUUACUCCUUUAUUGCCCUCGUUUAGCUCAAGGAGGGGUAGUACAGUUAUCUGGUCGCGGAAGAAGGUCCCUCUUGGGCAACUUGGAUGACCCCAAAGACUAUAGUUGGGUCAAUUGUUUCGUUGUCAUGGCCGCGAAGGAUCCUUUCAAAGUUACUUCCCUCGCGUCUUGGAAUUAAUGUCAUAAGAAAAUCGAGCUAGAGCCUUUCUUUUAUCCUUCAUCCUCCUUAUCAUUAAUCGCAGAUAACUUAAUGUUUAAGAACUUUGUGCAGCAUCUCCAUGAUGUGAUCCUAUGGGAAUGCCCUUUCUCCAUCAGGCCGGAGAAUUUUGCUUGUGGGUCAAGAAGAUUUUGAAGCCUCCCCGACCACCAGCCAAUCCUGGUCACAUAUAUCCACUUAGUUUGAUGGGAAGGCCUGAUAUCUGAUUCGGUAAUUCUAGCAUCCUAGAUCGUCGCUAGCCAUCUAAUGGGUCGAAAACCUUGUGGGAGACUUCGUGCACUUGUUGAUGUUGCGUCGAGACCAUGCUCCUGGGGUCGAGCCUUAAUCUUCUGGAGUGAAAAAGAGCAAACGAUCAGAUUCGCUAGCAAGAUGAUCUGCUCCCAAGGCCAUUCCCUUACACAAAGGCCCCAAGGAGUCUAGGGGUGAGCCACUGGUCCAGCUCUCGCUCACCUUGUUCCAAUGUUGUAAAUUUGUUCCAAGAACUGGAAAAUGCUGAGAAAGCAGAGAAUGAGUCUCGGAUCCCCGCGGUGCUCAUACAGGUGAGAGCCUCGCAGAAUGUAGACCAUUGCCCCCCAUCCUCCUUACGAGUCCCAGUCAACCGCCUGAACCCUCCUAGCUUGGCGCCUUCUCGACAUCAUCCCCUUAUGGGGUUUGUAGGUCCUCACGCCACAUCCGAUACUUCUUGUCUCCCAAAGCAGGGUCUGGCCCAAUAUUAGACAACAAUACUGCAAAUUCUCGGCGAAGUCGGCUUCACGUCGAGGUUGGUGGGAGUAGUUAAUUACUUGAAUGUCGUCGCCACAUCCAAAGAUCACCGGAGUAUGGACGAGGCAUUCACUGAGUGUUUCAUCAACGAGUGUGCUCAUGUCGCCGCUAGGGUUAAUGGCUCCUGUUGUAAAUGACUUACAGCUUUUCAGGUCUGAAUUUGAAUAACACUUCAGAUAAUUAAGUGUAUUUACUUUUUAUUAAAAUUUUAGUUUUUAAUAAAUCUUAAUUAUUUAGAUUUAGAAUGAGAGAUAUUUUGGUGUUGGAUAA